UCCCUGGUGGCUCAGAGGAUGAAGCGUCUGCCUUUAGUGCAGGAGACCUGGGUUCGAUCCCUGGGUGGGGAA
This 72-nucleotide transfer RNA is filed under the name Ovis aries (sheep). It matches the Rfam family "tRNA". Rfam says of the family: Transfer RNA (tRNA) molecules are approximately 80 nucleotides in length. Their secondary structure includes four short double-helical elements and three loops (D, anti-codon, and T loops). Further hydrogen bonds mediate the characteristic L-shaped molecular structure. tRNAs have two regions of fundamental functional importance: the anti-codon, which is responsible for specific mRNA codon recognition, and the 3' end, to which the tRNAs corresponding amino acid is attached (by aminoacyl-tRNA synthetases). tRNAs cope with the degeneracy of the genetic code in two manners: having more than one tRNA (with a specific anti-codon) for a particular amino acid; and 'wobble' base-pairing, i.e. permitting non-standard base-pairing at the 3rd anti-codon position. The record is from Rfam by way of RNAcentral. Lineage: Eukaryota; Metazoa; Chordata; Mammalia; Artiodactyla; Bovidae.